GCAACGCGAAGAACCUUACCAGGUCUUGACAUCCUCUGACAACUCUAGAGAUAGAGCUUUCCCUUCGGGGACAGAGUGACAGGUGGUGCAUGGUUGUCGUCAGCUCGUGUCGUGAGAUGUUGGGUUAAGUCCCGCAACGAGCGCAACCCUUGAUCUUAGUUGCCAGCAUUCAGUUGGGCACUCUAAGGUGACUGCCGGUGACAAACCGGAGGAAGGUGGGGAUGACGUCAAAUCAUCAUGCCCCUUAUGACCUGGGCUACACACGUGCUACAAUGGAUGGUACAAAGGGCAGCGAAACCGCGAGGUUUAGCCAAUCCCAUAAAACCAUUCUCAGUUCGGAUUGUAGGCUGCAACUCGCCUACAUGAAGCCGGAAUCGCUAGUAAUCGCGGAUCAGCAUGCCGCGGUGAAUACGUUCCCGGGCCUUGUACACACCGCCCGUCACACCACGAGAGUUUGCAACACCCGAAGUCGGUGGGGUAACCGUAAGGAGCCAGCCGCCUAAGGUGG
RNAcentral lists this ribosomal RNA (508 nucleotides) under uncultured bacterium. RNAcentral describes it as "bacterial SSU rRNA". It matches the Rfam family "Bacterial small subunit ribosomal RNA", at positions 956 to 1465 of the family's 1533-position model. The record is from RNAcentral.